ACAUAGACUACCAAAAGGCUUUUGAC
RNAcentral lists this small RNA (26 nucleotides) under Bombyx mori (domestic silkworm). RNAcentral describes it as "ovarian small RNA-11136". Lineage: Eukaryota; Metazoa; Arthropoda; Insecta; Lepidoptera; Bombycidae. The record is from RNAcentral.